CCGGGGGAAAGGACCACAGGGAUUGCCCUAGUAACGGCGAGUGAAGCGGCAACAGCUCAAAUUUGAAAUCUGGCCCUUUUAGGGUCCGAGUUGUAAUUUGCAGAGGGCGCUUUGGCAUUGGCAGCGGUCCAAGUUCCUUGGAACAGGACGUCACAGAGGGUGAGAAUCCCGUACGUGGUCGCUAGCCUUUGCUGUGUAAAGCCCCUUCGACGAGUCGAGUUGUUUGGGAAUGCAGCUCUAAAUGGGAGGUAAAUUUCUUCUAAAGCUAAAUAUUGGCCAGAGACCGAUAGCGCACAAGUAGAGUGAUCGAAAGAUGAAAAGCACUUUGGAAAGAGAGUCAAAUAGCACGUGAAAUUGUUGAAAGGGAAGCGCUUGCAGCCAGACUUGCCUGUAGUUGCUUAUCUGGGCUUUUGCCUAGUGCACUCUUCUGCGGGCAGGCCAGCAUCAGUUUGGGCGGUUGGAUAAAGGUCUCUGUCAUGUACCUCCUUUCGGGGAGGACUUAUAGGGGAGGCCACAUGCCACCCUCCUGGACUGAAGUCCGCGCAUCUGCUAGGAUGGUGGCGUAAUGGCUGUAAGCGCCCCGUCUUGAAACCCCGACC
RNAcentral lists this ribosomal RNA (599 nucleotides) under Mauginiella scaettae. RNAcentral's name for it is "partial large subunit ribosomal RNA". It matches the Rfam family "Eukaryotic large subunit ribosomal RNA", at positions 50 to 667 of the family's 3401-position model. The record is from RNAcentral. Lineage: Eukaryota; Fungi; Ascomycota.